Molecule: long non-coding RNA, 1418 nt
Organism: Patella vulgata (common limpet)
Lineage: Eukaryota; Metazoa; Mollusca; Gastropoda; Patellidae
Exons: 5
Source: RefSeq, a predicted model, not a curated record
CGUGGUUCUGGCAGCAAACUUUCAUGAUUAUUAUUAUCGAAAAGGUUAUUCCUUCUGGAUAUGUACCGUGCUUGACAUCUGCCAUUAAAAUUGUCCUCUCUGAUUAGCUGAUAGCCAGUUUUCUCAGAUCAGCAAACGACUAAUAUCAGAAAAAGACGAAAGAUUACUCAGUCCCUAAUAAGACAUGCCGUAUUAGCACGAGGUUAUAUUAGCGCGGUUCUCAGUAACGGAUAUGGUGAUCAGGGCUGUUUAUAACUGGUUUGGUACCUUCGGUGUUUCCAGACAGAUGUCAACUAUGAAGAUUGUUUUCUUUAUCUUCCUUUUUCAAGUGGAUAUCCAAGCCAGCAAAUGCCCAGAGCAUGUUGAUUCACAAAUACAGAAAUGUAUAGAAGAAUCAGGCAUGUAUAAUCUGGGCCAGACUCUCGGAACGAUAAUUGCUAAUGGCAUUGAUAACAGUGGCUUCUGUACAGGAGGAAAAUCAUCAGCGAUAGUCUGUAUUGAAGACGUAAUCAAUAAUUGCGCUAAUCACACUGAGCAGCGCCAGAUGAUGACUUUGAUGGUUGAUGUUCAUAAAUUGAGAACAAAUUUUAAUUAUUUUUGCGAAAACUUAAACAUUUUAUCAGCCAACAAAUCUUGUUUUUCAAGUUUAUACCAUGUUGGAGACUGCGUUGAGAAAACGACAUCCACCAUGAAAAAAACACCACAAAACUGGUCGGUUAAAAAUGUUUUGGAUAACUUGUGUCAAUUAUUUUCUUCCAUCAGUACUUGUUAUUCCAUCUCUUUCCCAGCAACAUGUAAUAUGACGUCACAGCUCUUUUCUCGUCUGUUUGAUGGAGCUCGUUAUCCAUAUUGUGAUUUAAGUGAAGUUCAAAGAGAAAUGAGACUUGCAGAACUAAUGUAUAACACAAGUCCUUCAUCGUUUAAUGUUUUCCUAUCAUUCGUGUGUGUCUUUGUGGGUUUGCUAUGUAACGGCACCUUCAUUGUCUCAUGUGGUGCAGAAAAGUAGGGCGUUAAACCUCUCCAUUUCAUUUGCUCAACGAUGGAAUAAGUUUGCUUCCCAUCAUUGAUUAUAAGGACAAUGCCUGACGUCAAUAUGACGAGAAAAGAAAAUGGAAAGCAUGUACGAUUGACGAAUGGUAAUAUUUCGUGUGUGGGAAGGAAAUUGUCAGAGCUACGUAUGAAACCUAUUGCUGCUAGAAUGAAACAAUACCAUGCCCAAAACAAUGUUCUUUAAUGGGCAUAUAAAAUAAAGCGCUAUCCGCUAAAUACAAGGCACGAGAACACAUAACACAACUAAAUUGUGUUCUAUUUGCUAUUAUCAUUAAUGUCUAUAUAAAUAUUUUUUCUUUAUAUUCUAGAUUUCCUGUGUUCUUUUUGCUAUUAUCAUAAUGUCUAUAUAAAUAAUAUUUUUUUCUUUA